UCACCGUUUGCACGGGCAGUUCCUCUAGAGUCCCCGGCAUUACCCGCUGGCAACUAGAGAUAGGGGUUGCGCUCGUUAUGGGACUUAACCCGACACCUCACGGCACGAGCUGACGACAGCCAUGCAGCACCUAGACCACUGUCCUUGCGGAAAAUCCCCUUUCAGGGACUGUCAUUGGUCUUUCAAGCCCAGGUAAGGUUCCUCGCGUACCAUCGAAUUAAACCACAUGCUCCUCCGCUUGUGCGGGCCCCCGUCAAUUCCUUUGAGUUUCAACCUUGCGGUCGUACUUCCCAGGUGGAACACUUAAUGCUUUCGCUUAGCCGCUGGCUGUGUAUCGCCAACAGCGAGUGUUCAUCGUUUACAGCGUGGACUAC
RNAcentral lists this unclassified non-coding RNA (374 nucleotides) under uncultured Bacteroidia bacterium. Its description in RNAcentral is "contains 16S-23S intergenic spacer region". The record is from RNAcentral. Lineage: Bacteria; Pseudomonadati; Bacteroidota; Bacteroidia.